Molecule: ribosomal RNA, 502 nt
Filed under: uncultured bacterium
Lineage: Bacteria
Description: partial 16S ribosomal RNA
Rfam family: Bacterial small subunit ribosomal RNA
Source: RNAcentral
AUUGAACGCUGGCGGCAUGCCUUACACAUGCAAGUCGAACGGCAGCAUAGGAGCUUGCUCCUGAUGGCGAGUGGCGAACGGGUGAGUAAUAUAUCGGAACGUGCCCUAGAGUGGGGGAUAACUAGUCGAAAGAUUAGCUAAUACCGCGUACGAUCUAAGGAUGAAAGUGGGGGAUCGCAAGACCUCAUGCUCGUGGAGCGGCCGAUAUCUGAUUAGCUAGUUGGUGAGGUAAAAGCUCACCAAGGCGACGAUCAGUAGCUGGUCUGAGAGGACGACCAGCCACACUGGGACUGAGACACGGCCCAGACUCCUACGGGAGGCAGCAGUGGGGAAUUUUGGACAAUGGGGGCAACCCUGAUCCAGCAAUGCCGCGUGAGUGAAGAAGGCCUUCGGGUUGUAAAGCUCUUUUGUCAGGGAAGAAACGGUUUUGGCUAAUAUCCAGAACUAAUGACGGUACCUGAAGAAUAAGCACCGGCUAACUACGUGCCAGCCGCCGCCGUAA